Long non-coding RNA from Esox lucius (northern pike), 1182 nucleotides. The record is from Ensembl. Lineage: Eukaryota; Metazoa; Chordata; Actinopteri; Esociformes; Esocidae.
UGUCAUGUCUCAGCAAUACUGACCGUACCUUUACCCACAGUCCUCUAGUGUCAUGUCUCAGCAAUACUGACCGUACCUUUACCCACAGUCCUCUGCAGGAGAUCCUGGGAGGCCUGGGUUAGUCACACGUCUUACCCGAGGCUGAGAAGUGGGACAUCUUUCUCCUAGGCAGCUCUAAUAGAUCAGUGUCAGCUAGUCUGUAGAUGACCUUUAUUGCCAGUAUGAGCAAGGGUCCAGAUGUCAGCUGUCCCUGUGAAGUCUUAAAACCAGGAUGACAUUAUGGCAAUUCACAGCCUGAGUUCCGUUUAGACUGGCUGCCACCUAGCUUUAACAGUCUGUUUACAACUGCCACUGAGAACAUGACCGUGUCAAUGAACUCGAGACUUGUUUUGUUGAUCCAUGCCUUAUUUCUCUGUAAGGAUUCUCUGUUUUGAGAUUAGUUGCUUUUGUGAUUUUUCUGAGGGAACAGAUGGUACCAAGAAAUAAGUUUGGUUUCAUGAAUACUCCCGUUCAUCAAGGUAUUUUGCGAUCUCUAAUGGCAGGAGUGGUCUAUGAAGAGACACUUCCAAGCUGUAGGAGUGGUAUUAUACAGAUGCAGUUAGAUAGAAAUAUCGGCACCCUUGGACUACUAUGAAGCAGACUAUUCCCAGCUGGUUGAAUGUCUUUUCUACCCUGUAGUGAGCAGCUUAGCACAAGUAGGACACCUGCUCAGGCAGAUUGAGGCCUGAUGUGGCAACAAGGCCAGUGUACUUGAGUGCUUCCACCAUUUUAAUGGAGUUACUGGGUGGGGCUUACAGCUACAUUUGUCUGAUCACCCGGUUAAAAAUGUAGAUCUCUAAUGCUGCAUGUGUGCUCAAGGCCCCAUAAUGGGAACAGUAGGGGUGCCUGUUCUCUGUGGAUGAAUUAUGAUGGUUGAGAUGGACUUCCUUCCCGUCAAAUGUAUUUUAAGGAUCCCCCUGCUCCACACCUGGUUUCCACUUCUUUUAGAAUUUGGAAUGGCGGUGAUAUAUUUGAAUGCAUCUGUAUGUGUGAAUAUGGCUUUCACUGAAACUGGCAUUUUACAUCAACAUGGUCUUAGACCACGCUUAGCUUCAUUAAACAUCAGCAAUAUUUUAUGGCUACUUUUUUCUUUCAAGCUAAGUACACUCCUGUAUGCUGUUCCUGAAAAAUCACACAUUGUUC